ACUCAAAAGGUUGUAAGUUGUGGUAAAAACAUAAAGGCAAAGUGUUUUCUGGAGAGAGGGGCACAUUUCCUUUUAUGUUGGGAAGUUUUUAUGUGCUGAGAAUGUAGCUGUAAAGGUCUUAUUUAUUAACUGUGUUUAUUGCCUACUGACAGGGCGAAAAGAAAAGCCACAUGAUCUGUGUUCAUGAAUAAAAAGCGAAAAUGUUGAUUACUGUUGAUUAAUGUUAAUUAAUAAAUGAUUGCUAGGCAAUCUGUAGUUCCAGCAUUGCUUGUGUCACUGUAUGAUGAUGGUGCUAUAUGACUUGUCUACAUGAUGAUGCUCAGUGAGGUCAGAGUUUAUUCUGCAGACAGAUAAUAUUACCAAGGGCGCUGUUUAGUUAUUUUCACUUUAUGUAUUUUUUCCUAUUUAUCUUUUAGCUCGCAGUAAUGUUAAAAAAAAUCACCUGAUAAAUGUAGAAGGCACUUUUAUAUUUUUGUAUAAAAUUAUUACUUUAAAAGGCACAGAUGCUGUGGUUGUUUUUUUUUUUGUAUAAAAUGCAGUGUCAUUAGGCAGAAGAUGUUUAUAGAGUUGUAAUGUAUUGAAAUGAUUACAACAUAUGCAUUAAGUCCAUGUGUUGUAUCAUCAACAAAUGAUCACAAAUACAUUGAAACUAUUAGUGUUUCAGUCAGCUGACUGGGAAUUCAACUGCAGUGAUGUAAUGGCCUUUUAAAUCAUUUAUACCCAGAGUAAAGUAAAAGAGGCUGCACUUUAGAGGAGAAGAAAAUCAAUGAGAUCACUAAUGAGAGAGAAGAACGUAUAGACGGAGAAAAAGAGGAAGACAGAGGAGGGCAGAGAAUGAGACAUGACAGGCAGUCAGGCAGAUGGAUGAUGAACCCCACCCAGGUCCCGGCUCUCUGCCUGCCGGCUCAGUUUUGUGAUAAGCAGCUGAAGCGGAAGUCAAGUAUUAUUUCAUCAGUACGUGUGAGGCAGGAUGAUCGUCUUUGUUAGCCGAGAGAUAAUCUGGAAAAGCUACAGCAUCAGUGUGGAAAUGAUACUCUUGAUGCGCCGUUAGGACUUUCUGAAGACCUCACUGACACCUGACAGACCCAGAGUUCUCCCAUGAAGAAAUCGGUUGCUGAUUUAUGACUUCAAGGAUUUUGAGUUCUCCUCCCAGGACUUUAUUUCUAUUUUGCACUAUUCUAAUUUUAAGUUAGUAUUUUCACUAACUAACAGCUGUAGUAAUUGUUGUUUUGACUCCAUCUUACGUUUGUCUGUAAUGUUUAAACUCUCCAUGCAGACAGUCAAACCUCACAGCUGAUGCUCAUAGCCCUGAGUGCCAUGCAAUACAGUUUUCUCUUCUCUCUUAUGUGAGAAAUUCUCUCUCUGUUUACCCAUCACUCAGACUCUUUUUGCAUGUAAGAGUGAAGCACUUGUGCUUUUGCUUUUGUUUGGCAGAACAGUGUGUGUGUUUGGCAACGAUUUUUUGUUUGUUGCCUAAAUUGGCUCAAUGUGGAAUUGGCCCUAGUUGAUGCCAGUCAGAGCUGAGACUUUCCUCUCUCAAGAUGGAUUGAUAUGUUAUUGGAAAAGGUAGGAUAACUUUGGAUGAAUGCCUACUCCUGAAUCUCUAUCAUUACUUUUUAACACAUUAUUGUACUUUAAAGAUUUGCAUUCCCGCAGCUGACAAAAACUUUGAGGUGAUGGACAUGUGUUUGCUGCACAAGUUUAGGAAAAGUACCUAAUUUUGACAUUUUAAGCUUUGGAUGAGAAUAAGUCAUGGAGGGUCUUGAGCAGCUUGAUGUGGUCGGUGAUAUUAGUCCAGCCUUGGAGGCUACAGAGGACUUUAUCCACUGCAUGGAUGGAGUACAGGGUCAAGGUCGCAGUCAGGCUCAAACAAGGAGCAUCCAGCCUCCUAGACAGUCUAAGCAACUGCAGGAAGUGUCCGAUGCUGCACUGGGGAAGCUGAGCUCCAGCGGAGUGUGGAGCCUCUUGGCAGGUGAACAGAAGGAGGUCGGUCCUUUAGGGUUGGCAUGGGCAGACAACUUUAGUGUACUAGGCCUUGGCCUGGGCCCUAGGCACGGUAAGAGAAGCCGAGCACGCUCCACCAAUGACUUGGCGGCGCACAGCAAAGAGUGUACAAUCAACGCCUCCAACUCCUCAUCCAACUCUGCCUUUAAGAAGGGACACAACCGAUCCAGAUCUGAUGUCCACUACCGCCCGUCUGCCUUCACGGACAAUGGACUGCCUACAGUGGAUGGCAGUGCCCUGAAGAACAUGAUCUUCAACCAACAUCAAGAAGCUGAUAAACAUAGCAGUAGCCUUGUGGUCAAGCAGGGUGAGAUGGAGCAGCGUGAGGGGCCCCGGGGCCGAUGGACACCCUGUCACGUCGAGCUGACACCAUGCGAGCUGCGGCUCUACAUUCUAGACAGUAGUGCCAACCGUCAGCUGGGCACUGCCUACUCUCUGUCCCACUGUCAGAAUGUCGUCUCACCAGCAACCUGCAGCCAACGUGGCCAGAUCAGCCAGCCCGCUGACCAGUGUACGCUCGAGGCUUUGUUCUUCAACAGCACACGUCUCCAGCUGAGAGUGGGCAGCCAAUGGGAAGCCAUGGAGUGGAGGAGACUGAUGUGGGAGAAAGUGCAAGCGGCCAGACCUUUGAGGCAGGAGAACCACCAGUGUAAGACCACUGUGAAAAACAAACAGGUUGCCAAAUUUCCUACACCCAUGUUGGCCUCUUCAUCCCCCUCACCGUCAGGGCUGGACACCAGGCCUGAUGGAGAAAGCGACACUCCUACUUCAGCAGAUCUCUCACUGUCCCUUCAGUCUAACUCUGGCACCUUAAGCAGACCCACCACUCUUCCUUUGUGCAGUCAGUACAGUGAGGAGGUCCUAAUAGCCGGUUUUCUUCACCAGCUGAUGGACCAGAACAACUGGCGGACCUUCUACUAUGUUCUCACCAGGACCACUCUCCAAGCCUUCCCUCCUGAGCACAGAGCAUCUGGGUCGCGGCCUGCCCUUCAGUACUCCUUGACAUCCUGUCUGGCAGUGAAGCAUGAGCAAGAACUAGGAAACUGUGACCAGUGGAGGGAUAAAAGGGAACAUUUCCAGGUAGUUUUCCCCAAAGAGGUGCUUCGACUUAGGGCAGACUAUCAGCUUAAGGCCGACGAAUGGGUGGAGGCCCUGCGAGAAGUUGUAGGAGCAAAGAAGUCUGCUCAAGAGGAAGCAGCAGAAAGUGCUGAAGCAGCACCAGCACUCCAGGGAGUGCUGUUGAGAUCGAAACCGUCUCGAGAAAGGAGGCAUCGUGAGGCCCAGAGAGCCAAGAGGCAGUCAGUGACCACCAGCUUCCUCAGCAUUCUCACCUGUCUGGCUGUAGAGAAAGGACUCACUGCUCAGAGCUUCAGAUGUGCAGGUUGUCAGCGUCCAGUCGGCCUAUCCAGAGGAAAGGCUAAAGUUUGCUACUACAGCGGCUGGUACUACUGUCAGAGCUGCCAUCAGGACAACUCCUUCCUCAUCCCUGCUCGUCUGCUGCACAACUGGGACACCAGUAAGCACAAGGUUUCCAAACAGGCCAAAGAAUUUCUGGAGUUUGUGUACGAAGAGCCUUUGCUUGACAUCCAGCAGCUCAACCCUUGUUUAUACGAACACUGUGAGCCUCUCAGCACCGUGCUACGUCUGCGCCAACAGCUGCAGUCACUGCGCGCCUACCUGUUCAGCUGCCGAGCAACCGUGGCUGAGGAUCUCAGACGAAGGAUCUUCCCCAGGGAAUAUCUACUGCAACAUAUUCACCUGUACUCCAUAGCAGAUCUGCAGCAGGUGAUUGAUGGAAAAUUAGCGCCCUUCCUGUCUAAAGUAAUCAAAUUUGCCAGCUCCCAUGUUUUCAGCUGCAGUUUGUGUCGAGAGAAAGGAUUUAUCUGCGAACUCUGCCAGAAUGGACAGGUCAUCUACCCGUUCCAGGAGAAUGCCACUAAAAGAUGCGACGGCUGCGGCGCUGUUUUCCACACGGAGUGUCGACAGAAGGCUCAGCCCUGCCCUCGAUGCGUUCGCAGAGAACUUCACCACAAGAGGCCGUCAUCCUUCUGGUCGCCCGAUGACGACAGCCCUGGGUGUUUCCACCAGCCCUUCCAAGACACCUGAACAACUCACAAAACACACACACAGAGUCACAAGCAGGCAUUUAACAGCCGUAACACUUAGCGGCUGCCAGGUUUGGAUGCUGGAUGAACCCCUGACUUCUUGAUCUGUGUGUUUCCAGGAUACAAUCCCCGACAGUUUAUGUCUGAGAAGAAGCUCAGAGAACCUGAUGGCUCGUCAGGAUUGCAAUUUGAUGUGUGUCUGAUCACAAAAACACGUACACACGUACACACAUACACACACACACACACGUGUUGGUUCUGUAUGUAAAAAGCAGGGAGAAAACCACUGGAGAUUUGCUGCAACAGGCUUUACAGACUCUUGUUGUUUUCAGUCCAACGUCUCCACACGUCAGUUUCAUCCCUCAUGUCUUCAUCACACCAUGAACUUCUGUGUGUUCACUUUCCACAGCAGGAGCCGAACAGCCUUCUCCUGAUUGGAGAUCACCCUCAAUGGAGAAGAAACAGUUUAUAGUGGACCAUAAAAAAGAUCAAUUUUACAGGAUGUUUCAGCCUGAAGUGAAAAUGUCUGCAGGAUCAAGAAAUGGAAAACCUUCUGGGAAAGUAUGGUUGGUUUUAGUCUUUGUUUACAGACUAGUUAAUGACUUGAAAGAAAAAGAUUAAUUUAUUGUUGUUUUAGACCUUAUUUUUCACAUUAAUUAAGUUAGUUAAUUAAGUUGCAAACUGCAAUUUAAAAAAGGGACCUAUUGUUAAAAGACAAACAGGCAUCAUGCUGAACAUUUACUAAUUACAUUUUUCUUGAGUCACAAAUUCUGAUUUUUCUGCACACUCUAGAGCACAACUACCUACCUGUGACUGCUACAAGCUUUUGGAAAAAUUCAUCCACAUUUCUAUCAUAAUAACUGGAAUAGUUUUCAUUCUGAUUUGAACAAUUUAAUUCUCAAAUUGAAUCCUUGUGAUACUAUUUGGAUUUAUCACAUUUUUGCCUGAUUAGAAAAGAGUGUUUACAGAACAUGUAACAGGCUGAGAGUAGUGUAAAAUCUGACAUCUUCAUGUUUACAUUAGAAAUUAAUAUAAUGUAUUUGAUCUAAAAGUGACUCCAUUCAUGUUGGGAAUUCUGUCUUAUUUUAAUGUAGCAGUUUACCUUUUAUUUAUUGAUUUUUUUUUUUCUUUUCUGAGUGACCACUUUAAAUGCGGUUCAUUUGACUGAACCCAAACUGAGGGAAAUGUUUGAGGCUAAUUUUGGAUUUAACUCCAGCGAUCGACCCAAGAUGUUUUACUUUUUCUCUCCGCUCCAUUGUUUCGUGACAUCUUCACUUCCUCACACUCGGAGUCAUUGAGUCGUUGAGUCUGCCUGAGUUUUGAUAUCAGUGUUUCCUGGUGUAAAUGUGAAUUUAAUACGCACUCGCUCAGGCUGGGCACAGUUUUCUUCCCUUUGACUGUAAAAUACCAGGGACAGUAAAAUACUGUAACUUUUCAUUGUUGCCUCUCCUCUCUCCCCUCUCCUUUCCUGUGUGAUUUAACUCCUUGCUGCGCUUUAUUCCUGCAUAAUCUAUCGAGCCUGAUAGCAGCUUUAGCUUUUAGCAUUUCUAUGCAACCUUAGAUGGCCUUUGGGACCCACUGCUUUCUCUUUGUGUGUCUGGAAUCACUGUUGUUCACAUUUGCUUACGUUCAUCAACACAGCUGUAUUUCCAUCUGGACCGAUGAAGGAUUAUAAUCAAAAUAUCAAUCUUAUAGUAAAAUAUCAAUAUUUUUCAUUAAUUGAUUUUACACCAGACAGAAAGUAAAAAACUGAGCUAAGCUGUCCUGCUGCGACCUCAGUGCAGAUGUUCAGCUGGUGCACUUGAAUGUGACAGAAAACAAAUCUAUAUUUUCUGCUCUGAAUUGAAUUUUUAGUAUAAAUAGAAAAGUAUUACAGUGGCUAAGAUGUCGGUUAAAUUCCAGACACUUUCUCGUAGACUCUGGCUAAAACACGACAACUUUUUUCAUUUACAAAUUUCAAAAUUUGACUAUCCAGAAUGGAAACCUGGCUGCUGCUUUAUUUAUUUUACGUUUAUUUAUUUUUUCAAUCAUUUUUACUGUGCCUUCCUUUCUUCUCUGGUAAACUGAUUUGAAUGCAGCUCUCAUUCACUCAACUUUCCUGUCUCUUCAUUUUCACAAGCAAUAAAUCAAGCAUUUACCAUUAAAAAGGAAUUAUGUUAUUAAAAAUGGUUGUGAUCCUGAACUGAAACCUGGAAGCGUGGAUCACAGAGAGCUGUCCAUCACCUGUAUGAAGCAGGUUUGGUUCUAAAGCCUGAAACUAAACAAGCCAGUAGUAAAAAGAAAUGCACUGAUGUGUCAGUUGUCUAUAGAAAACAUUUUUGUUCUUUGCAUAAUUUCUUUGCUGCAUAAGAAUAUAAGGGAUAACAAGUUCAAGUUCUUUGCUGAUGAUUAUGUUUGGUAAUUUUCAUUUGUGUGCUUGUUUGAAUUGUGUCAUGACUGUUUGGUUUAUUUAAAUUUGUACACACAAAUCAUACAACAGCCUUUUUUUGUCACCACUUAAAUGAUGUAGUGCUGCACAGUGAUGUGUCUCCCAAAACAAUACAAUUAUACGAAAACAUUUUAGACUAUUAUAGUAUACAGUACAUAUAUGCAUAUAUAUAAAUAUACACGGUAUAUAUAUAUAUAUAUAUAUAUAUGUUUAUAUAUAUGACUUGUAUUUCUUUUUUAUUUAUUAUCUAAUAUAUAUUUGUUUAAUGAAAAAGUACGUCAGAAUUCUCAUUUCUUUUGGCUCUACAUGCUUCAGUAAACACCUAAUUUGUAGGUUUGUGUGCACAAAUGACCAUGAAGAGACAAGUGUCUCAACUGCACUCCUUAGUUUCCCUUAAUGUAGCAUUAGCACUAGACUUGAAUGAGAAGCUGUGUUUUCAUCCACACAAUUCACAUUUGCUGCAUGCUGUUCACUUUGAUUCUCUCAUCCAGGAUUGUGAUCACGGCUAUCUGUGAUAGACAACGUCACAGGUUCAUUUAACAGUCGUCCUAUAACUGUCCUUAUUUUUAUACACGUGUCAGCAAUUACAGGAUGAGCAUGUUGUGUUGAAGGAGAAAAAUGUUUGAACAUCUUAGCGUUGCAGGUACGUGUUGAUCAUUGCAGUAUUUUUAAGCAAAGAAUAUAUUGUACAGUAUUUAAUCAGAGUAACUAAAACUCCUCUGAUUUGCACAUUUUAAGUUAUUAUUAUUGUCAUUAUUUGUUGACUCUUUUCAUUGCAGACAUUAUGCAAGCAGAGGGAGGUGUUUUGUUUUUUUUUAAAUCAGCCCUUCCUCAGGUCUGAGAGCGUUCACAUUUAUUCAGUUUACCACUGAUGCCAAUAAAGACGGAACUGAAAAAGUGGAACAAUCUUCCUUCGACUUCUUCAUCUUCUCCUUUGGUUUCAAGCACUUGACGGCAGAACAUGGAGUGUUUGUCAACAACGGACCCUGUGAAAGACCCUGGAGUGAAGCUUAAGUUAUCUUUGUCAUGACUAUGGAGAAGACUGGCGGUCGUGAUGAAUCAGAAAAUGACAAUGCACUGGACGCAGUAAACCACACAUGAAGCCACUUGUGGAGCCAAGAGUGAGAAACCCCUGAACUGACUCAGUGACACUUGAUUUUCAGGGAAGUUGAAAUCGUGUGGUUCCCAGCGGUCCUUGAACGCAUCACCACAGAGCGUGGAUGAGGAGCUGCUGCUGCUGUUUCACUCAGGUUCAUUCAGGUCCUGCUUAUCGGUCGGAGCGGACGCUGAUCUCCAGCGACACCGACACAAGUGUGACAGAGAAAAGUCGGGAUUUACAUCAGGCAGUAACAGAAAAA
RNA transcript from Cynoglossus semilaevis (tongue sole), 7895 nucleotides. It is a transcript of the gene named pleckstrin homology domain containing, family M, member 3, with no coding region annotated. The transcript is spliced from 11 exons. Lineage: Eukaryota; Metazoa; Chordata; Actinopteri; Pleuronectiformes; Cynoglossidae. The record is from RefSeq and is a predicted model, not a curated record.